AUGAACGCUGGCGGCGUGCCUAAUACAUGCAAGUCGAGCGAACAGAUGAGGAGCUUGCUCCUCUGACGUUAGCGGCGGACGGGUGAGUAACACGUGGAUAACCUACUUAUAAGACUGGGAUAACUUCGGGAAACCGGAGCUAAUACCGGAUAAUAUAUUGAACCGCAUGGUUCAAUAGUGAAAGACGGUUUUGCUGUCACUUAUAGAUGGAUCCGCGCCGCAUUAGCUAGUUGGUAAGGUAACGGCUUACCAAGGCAACGAUGCGUAGCCGACCUGAGAGGGUGAUCGGCCACACUGGAACUGAGACACGGUCCAGACUCCUACGGGAGGCAGCAGUAGGGAAUCUUCCGCAAUGGGCGAAAGCUUGACGGAGCAACGCCGCGUGAGUGAUGAAGGUCUUCGGAUCGUAAAACUCUGUUAUUAGGGAAGAACAAAUGUGUAAGUAACUAUGCACGUCUUGACGGUACCUAAUCAGAAAGCCACGGCUAACUACGUG
This 496-nucleotide ribosomal RNA is filed under the name uncultured bacterium. RNAcentral describes it as "partial 16S ribosomal RNA". It matches the Rfam family "Bacterial small subunit ribosomal RNA", at positions 29 to 507 of the family's 1533-position model. The record is from RNAcentral.